This 73-nucleotide transfer RNA is filed under the name Apaloderma vittatum (bar-tailed trogon). It matches the Rfam family "tRNA". From Rfam's summary of the family: Transfer RNA (tRNA) molecules are approximately 80 nucleotides in length. Their secondary structure includes four short double-helical elements and three loops (D, anti-codon, and T loops). Further hydrogen bonds mediate the characteristic L-shaped molecular structure. tRNAs have two regions of fundamental functional importance: the anti-codon, which is responsible for specific mRNA codon recognition, and the 3' end, to which the tRNAs corresponding amino acid is attached (by aminoacyl-tRNA synthetases). tRNAs cope with the degeneracy of the genetic code in two manners: having more than one tRNA (with a specific anti-codon) for a particular amino acid; and 'wobble' base-pairing, i.e. permitting non-standard base-pairing at the 3rd anti-codon position. Lineage: Eukaryota; Metazoa; Chordata; Aves; Trogoniformes; Trogonidae. The record is from Rfam by way of RNAcentral.
GGCCGAUUAGCUCAGUCGGUUAGAGCAUGGUACUGAUAAUACCAAGGUUGGAGGUUUGAUUCCCAUUUGGUCC